AAAACAUGAUUACUUUUGUAUGGAGAGUUUUAUUUCCUAAGUUAUAGUGUUUUCCAAAGUAUCUUAAAAAACUAUAAUUCAUUUUUUUAUCCCAUGCUUCAUGUUUGUAUUGAUUUUGCUUGAUUAUCUAUUUUGGAACUUAUGCUAUAAUGUACCAAAUAAUAUUUAAUUUUCCUGCUUUUUGACAUUAGUGGAUCUCUAUAUCAAGGUCAUGCUCUUUUAAAGGCCAUUUUGGUGAUGAAUGUAGGGACAUCUUAUGCUAUCAAUGAUGUACCAGAAUUACUACUAUUUAACUUUUAAUCCUUAAUGCUUUUGUUUGUUCAAUGAUGU
Molecule: long non-coding RNA, 330 nt
Filed under: Trifolium pratense (red clover)
Lineage: Eukaryota; Viridiplantae; Streptophyta; Magnoliopsida; Fabales; Fabaceae
Description: long non-coding RNA (TPRA_LNC009479)
Source: RNAcentral